GAUGAACGCUGGCGGCGUGCCUAAUACAUGCAAGUCGAGCGAACGGACGAGAAGCUUGCUUCUCUGAUGUUAGCGGCGGACGGGUGAGUAACACGUGGAUAACCUACCUAUAAGACUGGGAUAACUUCGGGAAACCGGAGCUAAUACCGGAUAAUAUUUUGAACCGCAUGGUUCAAAAGUGAAAGACGGUCUUGCUGUCACUUAUAGAUGGAUCCGCGCUGCAUUAGCUAGUUGGUAAGGUAACGGCUUACCAAGGCAACGAUGCAUAGCCGACCUGAGGGGGUGAUCGGCCACACUGGAACUGAGACACGGUCCAGACUCCUACGGGAGGCAGCAGUAGGAAAUCUUCCGCAAUGGGCGAAAGCCUGACGGAGCAACGCCGCGUGAGUGAUGAAGGUCUUCGGAUCGUAAAACUCUGUUAUUAGGGAAGAACAUAUGUGUAAGUAACUGUGCACAUCUUGACGGUACCUAAUCGGAAAGCCACGGCUAACUACGUG
This 497-nucleotide ribosomal RNA is filed under the name uncultured bacterium. RNAcentral's name for it is "partial 16S ribosomal RNA". It matches the Rfam family "Bacterial small subunit ribosomal RNA", at positions 28 to 507 of the family's 1533-position model. The record is from RNAcentral.